AGUGAACGCUGGCGGUAGGCCUAACACAUGCAAGUCGAACGGCAGCACAGUAAGAGCUUGCUCUUACGGGUGGCGAGUGGCGGACGGGUGAGGAAUACAUCGGAAUCUACUUUUUCGUGGGGGAUAACGUAGGGAAACUUACGCUAAUACCGCAUACGACCUACGGGUGAAAGCAGGGGAUCUUCGGACCUUGCGCGAUUGAAUGAGCCUAUGUCGGAUUAGCUAGUUGGCGGGGUAAAGGCCCACCAAGGCGACGAUCCGUAGCUGGUCUGAGAGGAUGAUCAGCCACACUGGAACUGAGAAACGGUACAGACUCCUACGGGAGGCAGCAGUGGGGAAUAUUGGACGAUGGGCGCAAGCCUGAUCCAGCCAUACCGCGUGGGUGAAGAAGGCCUUCGGGUUGUAAAGCCCUUUUGUUGGGAAAGAAAAGCAGCAGGUUAAUACCCCGCUGUUCUGACGGUACCCAAAGAAUAAGCACCGGCUAACUUCGUG
RNAcentral lists this ribosomal RNA (492 nucleotides) under uncultured bacterium. RNAcentral describes it as "partial 16S ribosomal RNA". It matches the Rfam family "Bacterial small subunit ribosomal RNA", at positions 29 to 507 of the family's 1533-position model. The record is from RNAcentral.